Molecule: long non-coding RNA, 1852 nt
Organism: Homo sapiens (human)
Lineage: Eukaryota; Metazoa; Chordata; Mammalia; Primates; Hominidae
Source: Ensembl
AAGGAUUUAGUAAUUUGUCCUCAGACCACAAAGAGAUGGUUUUACAUCCCUAACUAGCUGCAUAGAAAGCUGGGAGCUGAACCAGCAUGCCAUACUGCCACCUACCUACAGCAGCGCUGACAGUUCUUCAGCUCAGCCCGCAAACCAGCCAGCAUCUGCCCUGUGCCCGGCAAUGAGCCCGCUCCAGCUGGGAAUGCCCAGGUCCUGGUCUAACUGAGAAGCUUGUAGCAGGGGAACUUUGAACCUGGCUGCCUGGAAACUUGGAAGCAACCCAGAUGUCUUCAGUAGGUGAAUGGAUAAAUAAACUGUGGUGCAUCCCAAUAUUGGAAUAUGAUUCAGCACUAAAAAGAAAUGAGCUAUCAAGCCAUGAAAAGAUAUGGAGGAAAUUUAAAUGCACAUUAUUUAAGUUAAGGAAGACAAUCUGAAAAGGCUACACCCUGUAUGAGUCCAACUCUAUGACACCCUGGAAAAGGCAAAACUACGGAGACAAUAAAAAGAUCAGGGGUUGCCAAGGGUUGGAUGUUGGGGAGGGAUGAAUAGAUAGAACAUAGAGGAUUCUUCAGACAGUGAAACUACUCUGUCUGAUACUAUAAUGGUGGAUACACAGUAUUAUACAAUCAUCCAAACCCGUAGAAUGUACAACACCAAGACUGAACCUCCAACUCCUGGGCUCAAGUGAUCCUCUGCCUCAGCCUCCCGAGUAGCUGAAACUAUUGGUGCACACGACCACAUCUGGCCAAUUUUUAAAAAAUUACUAUAGAGGCAGGAUCUCACUAUGUUGCCCAGGAUAGUCUCAAACUCCUGGCCUCAAGCCAUCCUCCUGCCUCAACCUUCAAAAGUGCUGGGAUUGCCACCACCCAGGCUCGCCCCUGGUCCUUAGUUGGCAAUAAAGUAUCACUCUUGGCUCAUCAGUUGCAACAUCAGCAUAUCACAGUAAUGCAAGAGGUUUACAGUGCAGGACAUAGGGACUUGGUGAGGGGACAUGAGAAUCCUCUGCACAUUCUGUUCAAUUUGUCUCAAAAUAAAAUAUAUUCAUUAAAAUAAAACUACUAAUUUCUUAUCAACUCAUCUCAUAAAAUGGACUGAUGGGAGACUAAGUCAGUAUCCUAUUAGCAGACACAACCAGAAAUUAAGAGUGGUCCCAUGUCAAAGAGGUUUGCCCAAGCAUUGCAGAUACAGGACUGAACAGACUGCCAUCCUGGCCGUCUCGAAUGUCAAUGUUAGUAAUAGUUAUUUUAUUAUGAUGUUGAACUCAUCAUUUAUAAUGCCAUAUUUGUUGCUUCAGUUAUCACAUUUAACCUGUCACAAGCUUAAAAAUACAUAUUCUUUAAAAAGAUAGUUUGUGGAUCAAGAACUCCCAGUUAAGCCUACUAGAUGAGCUGUGUGUGUUUGUUGCUCUCCCUUCAAAAAAACUGCUAAAAUAAUAAUUGAAAAGAUACAAACCCACUUGUCGAAGGGAGAAGAGACCAACGGCAGACAUAAGAUUCCAGACGAUUUUUGGAGAGUGGAAAGAGCACGCAGUUGACUUAGAAAAGCAUCCCGGGCCGGGCAUGGUGGCUCACGCCAGUAAUCCCAGCACUUUGGGAGGCCAAGGCAGGAGGACUGCUUGAGGUCAGGAGUUCGAAACCAGCCUGGCCAACAUGGCAAAACCCCAUCUCUACUAAAAAUACAAAAAAAAAAAAAAAAUUAGCUGGGCAUGGUGGCAGGUGGCAGGUGCCUAUAAUCCCAGCUACUCGGGAGGCUGAGGCAGGAGAAUUGCUUGAGCCUGGGAGGUGGACGUUGCAGUGAGCCGAGGUCGUGCCACUGCACUCCAGCCUGGGUGACAGAGUGCGACUCCAUCUCUAAAAAAGAA